Long non-coding RNA from Drosophila willistoni, 331 nucleotides. RefSeq lists it as uncharacterized. The record is from RefSeq and is a predicted model, not a curated record. NCBI's taxonomy places the organism in Eukaryota, Metazoa, Arthropoda, Insecta, Diptera, Drosophilidae. The transcript is spliced from 3 exons.
UCGAUGGUUUUUUUCCUCCAUCGAUAGUUCACUGCAUGGCUAGACACAAAACCACGCUACACAGAUUUCUAAAAUAGGUGUAACUUUGUUGGCGGUUCCUCAAAAAUUAUGGAUAAGUUUGUGAUUUCAUCAAAUAAAAGUGCAUCAUCAGCUGCCUCAACAUCUUCAGCUGCCUCAUCGAUAUUAGCUGCCUCACCAUCAACAUCUGCCUCGUCGUCCGCUGUGGUUCCGCAUCCAGACGAGUUGCCUUGCAAGCGAAAAAAAUGCAGCUCUCAGGUAUGGGACUACUUUGAAAAAUGUAAAAGUAGAAAUUUCGCAAAAUGCAAAUUAU